Long non-coding RNA from Pseudophryne corroboree (corroboree frog), 1137 nucleotides. RefSeq lists it as uncharacterized. The transcript is spliced from 4 exons. The record is from RefSeq and is a predicted model, not a curated record. NCBI's taxonomy places the organism in Eukaryota, Metazoa, Chordata, Amphibia, Anura, Myobatrachidae.
CAUAAUUGAAGAGGGACACAGCCGCCGGAGAGUGAGGGGCAGGAGAGGCGCACGCUGCACUCUCCUCCCCUCACAGACAGCAGCAGCAGCGCGGCCACUGAUGAAGGCUGGGAUGCAGGUCGAACGCGGACAGUACAUGUGGAAAACACACAGACUCUCACCAUGGAGCUGAGCAUAGGUGAAGCAUCCCGGUAACCAACAGAACACUGUAUGCAGCAAAUUACGUAACAUGGAGGAAGUGCCUAGAUGGCUAACGUUCCUACCUCAACUAACUUUGGCCUCACAAAUUGAGCAGAUGCUUUCACAAACAUUGCCAGGAUUGAGAUGGAUGCACAGAUCACCCCUUUCAGAUACAGCAGACAGAGCACCCCUUCCAGAUACAGCAGACAGAGCACCCCGUCUGGAGGGAUACAGCAGACAGAGCACCACUUUCAGAUUCAACAGAGCACCCCUUUCAGAUACAGCAGACAGAGCACCCCUUCCAGAUACAGCAGACAGAGCACCCCGUCUGGAGGGAUACAGCAGACAGAGCACCCCUUCCAGAUACAACAGAGCACCCUUUUCAGAUACAGCAGACAGAGCAUGCACCCCACAUCAGACAACACAGUACUGAGACAGACACAUCCGUCCAGUACACUCUACACAGCCGUAGUGAAGAUGGCACCCAUAACCAGGACCUUUAUAGAAUACAAAAACCUGUGAGAAUCCGACAGCGGGAUGAUGACGUUCAGCCUCGAUUUGGGAUCCGAGUAAGGCGGGAAGUCCCGAGCCAGACUUGGAUCUGGACUCGGAUUCCAAAGUUCGGGUGUGUCCAGUUCUUGGAGAACCAGACCCGCUCAUCUCUAAUAAUAACCAUUUUAAAAUACAUAGAGCAUUAUUAGUAUGUGACUGCACUGUGGUCCCCCCCUUACCCCCAUCCCCACCUUACCCCCCUCUUCCCCCUUCCCUUUACAUCUGACACUUUAUUGACGAUGUUUCUUCUCUCGAUUAUUGUUGUUUCUUUUUACGAAAAUAAUAUGGUUUGUGUUGGACGGUGGUUCCUUGACCGUUUGUCCUUUUUCUUAUUGUAUUGCUUAUCCAGUUUAUUUGACCAUACAAAAUAAAGAAUUUAAAAUAAAAAUAAAAAAAAUACAUAGA